RNAcentral lists this unclassified non-coding RNA (391 nucleotides) under soil metagenome. RNAcentral's name for it is "partial contains 5.8S ribosomal RNA, internal transcribed spacer 2, and large subunit ribosomal RNA". The stretch from base 1 to 122 matches the Rfam family "5.8S ribosomal RNA", at positions 35 to 154 of the family's 154-position model. The record is from RNAcentral.
GAUGAAGAACGUAGCGAAAUGCGAUACUUGGUGUGAAUUGCAGAAUCCCGUGAACCAUCGAGUCUUUGAACGCAAGUUGCGCCCGAAGCCAUUAGGCCGAGGGCACGCCUGCCUGGGCAUCACACGUCGUUGCCCCCCCAUCUACUCCUUCGGGAUUGCGGGGGGCGGAUGAUGGCCUCCCGUGCGCCUCGUCGCGCGGUUGGCAUAAAUGCCAAGUCCUCGGCGACGCACGCCACGACAAUCGGUGGUUGCGAAACCUCGGUUGCCCGUCGUGUGCGGUCGUCGCGCAUCGAGGGCUCGAAAAAAUUGCCGGGCUCCGACUCGGCUUUCAACGCGACCCCAGGUCAGGCGGGGUUACCCGCUGAAUUUAAGCAUAUCAAUAAGCGGAGGA